Long non-coding RNA from Populus euphratica (Euphrates poplar), 283 nucleotides. RefSeq lists it as uncharacterized. The record is from RefSeq and is a predicted model, not a curated record. Lineage: Eukaryota; Viridiplantae; Streptophyta; Magnoliopsida; Malpighiales; Salicaceae. The transcript has 2 exons.
CCUAUCAAACCUUAGAUUCGCGUUGUAAAAGUUUGAUAACUAAAUAGGAAAAAAAAAUUAAUGGGUUAACCUAAAAUUAACUGGGCUAACUCGUUAAACCAGGUUACCCUGUCAAACCCGAAAUCUGUAUCGUAAAAGUUUGAUAACUAAAUAAAAAAAAAUUUAACAUUAACAAUUUAAAUUAAAUAAAAAAAUCAAUUAAAAAGAAAAACAACUACAAAAGCCAUCAGCCUUUUCACUAUAGACUGCAUUGUGCAGUCCAUAGUCAAAGACAUGAAAAAAA